ACAUGGAUCUUCAAUAAUAUAAGUCUCCCAAAGGGUUUAGAGUCAGAAGCACAAGAAGUAGCCUAGAGAAAUAGAACACAGAUGAAAAUGGAAUUCUCAUCAUUCUACCUUCCUGAAGAAAUGAUGAUCGAAAUUCUUCUGAGGCUACCCAUCAAGUCUCUCCUUCAGUUCACCUCUGUUAGCAAAUCUUGGAACACCCUUAUUAAACACAAUACCUUCAUCAAAAACCACCUCAAACUCACUUCAAACAGAAUCACCAGAGAUGGCCCUCUGCUCCUUCUCAGGCAUUGCCCCAGAGAGCCCAAUGUAGAGCAGUAUUCUCUACAUUUAGACAACCACACCUUCCAAGAGUACUCAAAACCACAACUUCCAGAUAAGAGCUUCAAUGAGUGUUUCCGAAUUGUGGGUUCGUGCAAUGGAUUAAUCCUCCUCUCAGACGAUUACGUGACCGAGACCAAUAACUUCAUUCUAUGGAACCCCUCAAUUCGAAAGUCCAUCACUAUUCCUAAACCUCAUAUCCCACACUCUGAAGACUACACAGUUUAUGGGUUUGGGUUUGAUGCUGAGAGAGAUGAUUACAAGAUAGUGCAGCUGGUGUAUGAAGGUCACAACAGAGGUAGCCCUGAAGUUGAGCUCUACUCACUCAAUUCAAGGUCUUGGAAAAGCAUUACUGCAGCUUCUCCCAAGCAUGAGAUUGCUCGGAGUAUGUGGUCUCAGGUUUUUGUUAAUGGGUUUAUCCAUUUCAUAGGGUAUUCUAAGAAAGAAGAAGCUUUUCACAAUGUUGUUUUGGGAUUUGAUGUGUGUGAAGAGGUUUUUCAUGAGAUUAAAAUGCCAGAGGACUUGGCUUCUGAGGCGCCAAACAUGUUCAUUUCAGUCAUUGGCAAGUCCCUUUCUGUGCAACACUAUGAUAGUAUACAUAACUGUUGGAAUAUAUGGGUUAUGAGAGAGUAUGGGGUGGUGGAGUCAUGGACAAAGCAAUUCACCAUCGAUAUUCUUACCCCGAACUAUCGGGUAACAAGGGUUUUGGGGUCUAGCAAGAAUGGUGAGUUUCUUUUAGAAAUGUAUAAAGGAAAGAAGGGAGAGAUAGUCCUUCAUGAUCCCAAGAAAAACACAAAUGAGCUUCUUGGAAUUUAUACAGAUCCAGGAUGCACAUGUCUUGAAUAUUACAUGGAGAGUCUAGUUUUACUUGAUAAAGCAACUUGAUAUGCAGAUUCCAUGGAGCAAGAAGAGGAAGUAUAAUGGAAAUCUGAUUGCACCCUCAGGGCUGCAGCUACUUCAUAUGAUGGAGAUAUGAUGAGUCAGUUUUGCUAGACGACAUAGUCAAGGAGAAAAGAAUUUCAGAGUUAUUGGAAGAGUAAAACAAGCUUGAAUCAGAG
Rosa chinensis is the source of this 1376-nucleotide RNA transcript. It is a transcript of the gene named F-box/kelch-repeat protein At3g23880, with no coding region annotated. The transcript has 2 exons. The record is from RefSeq and is a predicted model, not a curated record. Lineage: Eukaryota; Viridiplantae; Streptophyta; Magnoliopsida; Rosales; Rosaceae.